This 482-nucleotide ribosomal RNA is filed under the name uncultured bacterium. RNAcentral's name for it is "partial 16S ribosomal RNA". It matches the Rfam family "Bacterial small subunit ribosomal RNA", at positions 28 to 507 of the family's 1533-position model. The record is from RNAcentral.
GACGAACGCUGGCUGCGUGCUUAACACAUGCAAGUCGAACGCUGAAGCUCAGCUUGCUGGGUGGAUGAGUGGCGAACGGGUGAGUAACACGUGAGUAACCUGCCCUCUUCUUUGGGAUAACGCCCGGAAACGGGUGCUAAUACUGGAUAUUCACUGAUUCUCGCCUGGGGGUUGGUGGAAAGGUUUUUUCUGGUGGGGGAUGGGCUCGCGGCCUAUCAGCUUGUUGGUGGGGUGAUGGCAUACCAAGGCUUUGACGGGUAGCCGGCCUGAGAGGGUGACCGGUCACAUUGGGAGUGAGAUACUGCACAGACUUCUACGGGAGGCAGGAGUGGGGAAUAUUGCACAAUGGGCGAAAGCCAGAUGCAGCGACGCCGCGUGAGGGAUGGAGGCCUUCGGGUUGUAAACCUCUUUCGCUCAUGGUCAAGCCGCAGCUUUGGGUUGUGGUGAGGGUAGUGGGUAAAGAAGCGCCGGCUAACUACGUG